ACGAACGCUGGCGGCAUGCCUAACACAUGCAAGUCGAGCGCCCGUAGCAAUACGGGAGCGGCGCACGGGUGAGUAGCGCGUGGGAACCUGCCCAGAGGUUCGGGACAACCGCGGGAAACUGCGGCUGAUACCGGAUGAUGCCUGAGGGCCAAAGAUUUAUCGCCUUUGGAGGGGCCCGCGUCGGAUUAGGUAGUUGGUGCGGUAACGGCGCACCAAGCCAAUGAUCCGUAGCUGGUCUGAGAGGAUGAUCAGCCACACUGGGACUGAGACACGGCCCAGACUCCUACGGGAGGCAGCAGUGGGGAGUAUUGGACAAUGGGGGCAACCCUGAUCCAGCAAUGCCGCGUGGGUGAUGAAGGCCUUCGGGUUGUAAAGCCCUUUCGGCGGGGACGAUGAUGACGGUACCCGCAGAAGAAGCCCCGGCUAACUUCGU
This 433-nucleotide ribosomal RNA is filed under the name uncultured bacterium. RNAcentral's name for it is "bacterial SSU rRNA". It matches the Rfam family "Bacterial small subunit ribosomal RNA", at positions 29 to 506 of the family's 1533-position model. The record is from RNAcentral.